GAUCAAGUGAUCAUCAUUAUGCAGGAUAAACUAGAAAUAAUGUUUGUUCCACAGGUCAUUUAAUUACAAGAAAUGUUUAAGAUUAAUCAUCAUAUUCAUGAUUCAGACCAUAUGUACUUACCAUAACAUUUUUUUAUCCACCUUCUAUAUUUACAUUUAUGACAGGUUUAUGCAGAAGUUGUGUAGAAAGACACAAGAAAACAUACCUUACAGUUGUAGAUGUACAAAAUGAUAUUGUGGAGUUCCAUAAAGUUGCAAUGAAUUUUCAUGAACAGAAUAUUAAUAGAAGUGAACAGAUGGUACCUUGCAGUCCAUGUUUUUCACCAGCCACAUAUCCAUCAGAAGAUUACGUUGAUGAAAUGAAUCCUGAUGCUGCUGACAUUAAUUCAAGUCUGCAGAAUUAUAGUU
This is a long non-coding RNA of Mytilus californianus (California mussel), 408 nucleotides long. RefSeq lists it as uncharacterized. The transcript has 3 exons. Lineage: Eukaryota; Metazoa; Mollusca; Bivalvia; Mytilida; Mytilidae. The record is from RefSeq and is a predicted model, not a curated record.